RNAcentral lists this ribosomal RNA (110 nucleotides) under Planctomycetota bacterium. RNAcentral also lists the same sequence under 2 other names. Lineage: Bacteria; Pseudomonadati; Planctomycetota. The record is from RNAcentral.
UCCGGUGGCCAUAGCAGGAAGGCCACACCUGUUCCCAUUCCGAACACAGUAGUUAAGCUUCCUGCGCCGAUGGUACUGGCGAAAGCUGGGAGAGUAGGUUACUGCCGGAA